RNAcentral lists this ribosomal RNA (442 nucleotides) under Legionella sp. RNAcentral's name for it is "bacterial SSU rRNA". It matches the Rfam family "Bacterial small subunit ribosomal RNA", at positions 394 to 826 of the family's 1533-position model. Lineage: Bacteria; Pseudomonadati; Pseudomonadota; Gammaproteobacteria; Legionellales; Legionellaceae. The record is from RNAcentral.
AUGCCGCGUGUGUGAAGAAGGCCUGAGGGUUGUAAAGCACUUUCAGUGGGGAGGAGGGUUCUUAGGUUAAGAGCUGGUAAAAUGGACGUUACCCACAGAAGAAGCACCGGCUAACUUCGUGCCAGCAGCCGCGGUAAUACGGAGGGUGCGAGCGUUAAUUGGAAUUACUGGGCGUAAAGGGUGCGUAGGUGGUUGAGUAAGUUAUCUGUGAAAUCCCUGGGCUUAACCUGGGCAGGUCAGAUAAGACUGGUCAACUUGAGUAUUGGAGAGGGUAGUGGAAUUUCCGGUGUAGCGGUGAAAUGCGUAGAGAUUGGAAGGAACACCAGUGGCGAAGGCGGCUACCUGGCCUAAUACUGACACUGAGGCACGAAAGCGUGGGGAGCAAACACGGAUUAGAUAACCCUGGUAGUCCACCGCUGUAACGAUGUCAACUAGCUCGUGG